Molecule: ribosomal RNA, 497 nt
Filed under: uncultured bacterium
Lineage: Bacteria
Description: partial 16S ribosomal RNA
Rfam family: Bacterial small subunit ribosomal RNA
Source: RNAcentral
GAUGAACGCUGGCGGCGUGCCUAAUACAUGCGAGUCGAGCGAACGGACGAGAAGCUUGCUUCUCUGAUGUUAUCGGCGGACGGGUGAGUAACACGUGGAUAACCUACCUAUAAGACUGGGAUAACUUCGGGAAACCGGAGCUAAUACCGGAUGAUAUUUUGAACCGCAUGGUUCAAAAGUGAAAGACGGUCUUGCUGUCACUUAUAGAUGGAUCCGCGCUGCAUUAGCUAGUUGGUAAGGUAACGGCUUACCAAGGCAACGAUGCAUAGCCGACCUGGGAGGGUGAUCGGCCACACUGGAACUGAGACACGGUCCAGACUCCUACGGGAGGCAGCAGUAGGGAAUCUUCCGCAAUGGGCGAAAGCCUGACGGAGCAACGCCGCGUGAGUGAUGAAGGUCUUCGGAUCGUAAAACUCUGUUAUUAGGGAAGAACAUAUGUGUAAGUAACUGUGCACAUCUUGACGGUACCUAAUCAGAAAGCCACGGCUAACUACGUG